UGGAAUGGUAGGUAGCUUCUCGGCUAACUAUCUUAUUGUAGUUUAGUUGAGUGAGAGGAAAGUCCAUGCUUACAUAGUCUGAGAUGACUAUAGUGAUUGUGUGAGUAUAUAAGAAAUAAAACUCAACGGCUAGUUCUACUAGUUGAUGGCGGAGAACCUUUCUAAAUAAGCCAAAGGCUUACAUGAGUAAUUCUCUGUAAAGUGCCACAGAGACGAGCUUUAUAGAAAUAUAGAGAGUGAAACGAGGCAAACCCCGCAAGUAAGAAACCUAAAUAUUGGUGAGGGAACUUAAGCUGAGGAAAUGAACGAAGCUUAGGGAUCGAAUUUGAUUAGAUUAAUUACCUACUUUUAUCUGAUUUACAGAUAAAAACAGAACAUGGCUUAUUGUU
This 389-nucleotide RNase P RNA is filed under the name Ovis aries (sheep). Its description in RNAcentral is "Bacterial RNase P class B (ENSOARG00185007001.1)". It matches the Rfam family "Bacterial RNase P class B". Rfam says of the family: Ribonuclease P (RNase P) is a ubiquitous endoribonuclease, found in archaea, bacteria and eukarya as well as chloroplasts and mitochondria. Its best characterised activity is the generation of mature 5'-ends of tRNAs by cleaving the 5'-leader elements of precursor-tRNAs. The record is from RNAcentral. Lineage: Eukaryota; Metazoa; Chordata; Mammalia; Artiodactyla; Bovidae.